CUACCUUAUAUUUAAUGGGCAUAAGUAAUGGUAUAUGUUCUGAAUGUAAGGUCUUGGAGGAUGUCACUCAUGUCUUAUUUUACUGUAAGAAAUAUGAGCAAUUUAGACAAGUAUGGAAAGAGCUUGAUGAGGAAAACGACAUUCACAAUAUAUUACAGGAACAAGGAAUGCAAGGAUUAAGAAUUAGAUAUCUCAUUAGGUAUCUAAUUGAUUCAGGUAUAAUUAAUAGAGUGUAAUUUUUUUUUUUAUGAUUUGAGAUCUCAAUUGCCAACGCUCCUUUUACACACUCCUGUGUAGUACCUCAGUAGGUGGCGGUAUAUAACGAAAGAUAUGACCCGCCAUUAAUCGAACGAAGAAGAAGAAGAAGAAGAAGAAGAACAGAGUGGCUACACCAAAGAUUGUUUGGCUACACUCCCAUAGACUUCCAUAGGAAACAAUGGCGGCGCUUUUUCCAGGCUACUCCGGCGUUAUGCAGAGCUCAAAAGUUCCUAACUUUGACAUUCACGGCUUUAGCCCCAUCCACUUGCUUUCUGCCUGAUAUUGUCAGUGGACCAAGGAUGCAGAGGACCAGAAGGGUGUGCGAUAUAUGACUGGAAUGGUCAGAUACGAUCAUUUUUUAUGUUUGAGGUCCACACGAUGGGGCCCUUACACAAAUGGAGUUGUGUUGAUCCAGCAUCUUCCACACCUUCCAUAACACUCCCGACUCCAGCCAAAUGUGUUGCAUCCUCCUUACCAUGUCCAUCUUAUAGGUGUACAGAGUACACGGAGGGCUAGCCAUCCCUUCCACAUUGUGUCUUUUGUGUAGUUCACACACAAUUGUUGUUCAAACUUUGGAAACUGAAAUCUUUUUAUUUUUUGGAAACCUAAAUGAGUGUCAGACCUCCUUUUUUAUGUUGCAGUGUCACCAUACCUUUCUCCCAGUCUUUUUUGCAUUUGUUCCUGUUCUUGUUUUAAACACACAUUGAAAACUUAAUAAAAAUUCUAUUGAAAACCUAA
Alosa alosa (allis shad) is the source of this 996-nucleotide long non-coding RNA. RefSeq lists it as uncharacterized. The record is from RefSeq and is a predicted model, not a curated record. The transcript has 2 exons. Lineage: Eukaryota; Metazoa; Chordata; Actinopteri; Clupeiformes; Clupeidae.